RNAcentral lists this ribosomal RNA (484 nucleotides) under uncultured bacterium. RNAcentral describes it as "partial 16S ribosomal RNA". It matches the Rfam family "Bacterial small subunit ribosomal RNA", at positions 29 to 507 of the family's 1533-position model. The record is from RNAcentral.
AAUGAACGCUGGCGGCAGGCCUAACACAUGCAAGUCGAGCGAAUGAAGGGGGCUUGCUCCUGGAUGCAGCGGCGGACGGGGGAGUAAUGCCUAGGAGUCUGCCUUGUAUCGCGGGAUAACGUCCGGAUACGGGCUAUAAUAUCGCAUACGACGUGAGGUAGAAAGUGGAGGAUCUUCGGUCGUAUCGCUAUCAGAUGAGCCUAGGUCGCAUCAGCUAGGUGGUGGCGUAACGGCCUACCAAGGCGACGAUCCGUAACUGGUCUGAGAGGACGAUCAGUCACACUGGAACUGAGAAUCGGCCGAGACUCUUACGGGGGGCAACAGUCGGGAAUCUUGGAGGAUGGGCGAAAGCCGGAUACAGCCAUGCCGCCGGUAUGCAGAAGGUCUUCGGAUUGUAAAGCAAUUAAGGUUGGGGGGUAGUACAGUAAGUUAAUACGUUGCUAUUUUGACGUUACCAACAGAAUAAGCUCCGGCUAACUUCGUG